AACGAACGCUGGCGGCAUGCCUAACACAUGCAAGUCGAACGAGACCUUCGGGUCUAGUGGCGCACGGGUGCGUAACGCGUGGGAACCUGCCCUUAGGUUCGGAAUAACUCCCCGAAAGGGGUGCUAAUACCGGAUAAUGUCUUCGGACCAAAGAUUUAUCGCCUUUGGAUGGGCCCGCGUUGGAUUAGCUAGUUGGUAGGGUAAAAGCCUACCAAGGCGACGAUCCAUAGCUGGUCUGAGAGGCUGAUCAGCCACACUGGGACUGAGACACGGCCCAGACUCCUACGGGAGGCAGCAGUGGGGAAUAGUGGACAAUGGGCGAAAGCCUGAUCCAGCAAUGCCGCGUGAGUGAUGAAGGCCUUAGGGUUGUAAAGCUCUUUUACCCGGGAUGAUAAUGACAGUACCGGGAGAAUAAGCUCCGGCUAACUCCGUG
Molecule: ribosomal RNA, 433 nt
Filed under: uncultured bacterium
Lineage: Bacteria
Description: partial 16S ribosomal RNA
Rfam family: Bacterial small subunit ribosomal RNA
Source: RNAcentral